ACCAUUACUGAGAGGUAAUGCUGAACGUACAGAAGUCAGCAGAGGUCAUAGUAGCUGUAUUGUUUCAGUGAAGGAC
Molecule: non-coding RNA, 76 nt
Filed under: Merdimonas faecis
Lineage: Bacteria; Bacillati; Bacillota; Clostridia; Lachnospirales; Lachnospiraceae
Also listed under: 1 other name
Source: RNAcentral